CCGCCGCCUCUCAACAGCAGCAACGGCAGCAACCCUGCGGCACCCCGCGCCCGGGCAGCCGCGCUCCCGCCGCCAUGAUGGGCUGCGUCAUGUGACGUAGAGCGGGGGCGGGAGGCCGUGACGGACAGCCCAGCUAGCCAAUGGCCAGCUCCACAGGCCACAGGCGGCCCCGCCCAUUAACCUGUCAGAGAAUGUGUGUCUGAGGGUGCGCCCCCUGCAGACCGAGAAGUGCGUGGGCAGCAGUGCCCUCCUGCCCCGUCCUGGCCACCUGGCACACUCCCUCUCAUCUGUCAGCACUCACCUGAAGGAUGGCGUCAUCAAAGAAGGCCGCUCCCCAUCCCAGGAGGAAUGACUAAUGUCUCCUAACGCCCCGCCCCAGCCCUGGACAGACUGCUCCACCAGGUGCCAUAUUUUAUUGUUCCCGUGACUGUAAGCUCCCUGAGGACAAGAGCUGUGCCCCUGUCAGCCGGGGUCCCCCGGGGGCUGGCUCAGAGCAGGGGUUCUCUAAAGGAAGGGUGCCUGUCCUAUUCCUGGGAGCAGCUCCCAGGUCCACCCUCUCCCCACCCCAGGACAAGGCCCAGCCAACAGAGGGAAAGGGCAGAGAAAGCAUUUUCCAGGCCCAAGUAACAUAAUCAUGGGAGGCCUAGAGGCUGGGCAAAGGUUGGGCUUUUCUGGAAAAUGCACUGUAGUCCAGUUUGUGCCUGAGAGGAACUGAUCUGAAUCUUAUCAGAUGGGCUCUCCCAACCGGCAGCCGGGAGCCUCCCCAGUUCUCCAAACUCCUCAAACGCCCAUCCUCAAUGCCCCCUCUCUGUGGUGCUGACCCGGCGCUGGACAAACAAUAUGUGCCCAAGAAUAUCUGUCAAAUGAUCAAGGUGAGCCAGUAAACACCUAAGGAAACAAACACUGGCUGGCAUGUGAAAUGCUGUUGCAGCGUCCAUGGCUAUCUGCUGAUCUCCAUGUAGGAACCGGAAGGAAGGCAAAGGUCUAGGAGAGAGACACAGUCACCCUGUGGUGCUUCGACAUCCAUCAGGAAGGCAGACAUGGAGUCCCAGGAAGCGGGGAACACUCCCGCUGAGGACCGGGAGGAGCCGCUGAGCUUGCCUGCAGUCCAUCCUAAUGAAAGUGCACCCCAACGCCACGCGCCAGGCCAGGAUCGCAGAGGAGGUUGCAUGAUCAUCUGAGCAAGCCCAAAGGUUCUUUGAGAAAACUUUUUUUUUUCCACUUCACAGCACAGGGGUUGAGGUGCACAUUCCUCAGAGGCUAACGGCAACCUUUACCCACCCCCCCACCCCCGUCACUCACACCUUUGCCCAGGGCUUCUCUUGAAGGCUCCCGGAAUUUAUAAAACAAAUGAAAACCUG
Myotis lucifugus (little brown bat) is the source of this 1361-nucleotide long non-coding RNA. RefSeq lists it as uncharacterized. NCBI's taxonomy places the organism in Eukaryota, Metazoa, Chordata, Mammalia, Chiroptera, Vespertilionidae. The transcript has 2 exons. The record is from RefSeq and is a predicted model, not a curated record.